GUAGGUGGCAAGCGUUGUCCGGAAUUAUUGGGCGUAAAGCGCGCGCAGGCGGUUCUUUAAGUCUGAUGUGAAAGCCCACGGCUCAACCGUGGAGGGUCAUUGGAAACUGGAGAACUUGAGUACAGAAGAGGAAAGCGGAAUUCCACGUGUAGCGGUGAAAUGCGUAGAGAUGUGGAGGAACACCAGUGGCGAAGGCGGCUUUCUGGUCUGUAACUGACGCUGAGGCGCGAAAGCGUGGGGAGCAAACAGGGAUUAGAUACCCUGGUAGUCCACGCCGUAAACGAUGAGUGCUAAGUGUUAGGGGGGUUUCCGCCCCCUUAGUGCUGCAGCUAACGCAUUAAGCACUCCGCCGUGGGGAGUACGGCCGCAAGGCUAG
Molecule: ribosomal RNA, 376 nt
Filed under: uncultured organism
Description: partial 16S ribosomal RNA
Rfam family: Bacterial small subunit ribosomal RNA
Source: RNAcentral